UGUUCUGUGCCUGCGCUCUUCCUGUUUACCGGCAUUCAACAGAGGUCUGUGGUUAAAACACAGCCGUUUGGGCAUUUUAACACCGCUUGUGUUAUUUCUGUGGGGCUUUGCGUGCACUGGAGAGUCUAUUGUAAACAACCGUUACGUGCGGUCUGGCUCGUUACACUGCCUAGUCCCAGCAUUCCCGUGUGUUUACCGGUUGAGUGGGGAUAUCCAAUAUAUGCUGUUUGGCAUCUACUUCAUUUCUAUCCCGUGGAUACUGACGUCAGCUCUGCUUUCUGGUGUGGCGAACGGCUGCGUUAUUUGGAGCUGUGUGUCCGACGGCAGUGAGGCUUUCCUUCACCGUGUGCUGUGUUAUGCUGUGUGAGCACCACUGAUAAAAUCACGGGUA
Long non-coding RNA from Carassius carassius (crucian carp), 391 nucleotides. RefSeq lists it as uncharacterized. The transcript has 2 exons. The record is from RefSeq and is a predicted model, not a curated record. Lineage: Eukaryota; Metazoa; Chordata; Actinopteri; Cypriniformes; Cyprinidae.